This is a non-coding RNA of Lactuca sativa (garden lettuce), 847 nucleotides long. Lineage: Eukaryota; Viridiplantae; Streptophyta; Magnoliopsida; Asterales; Asteraceae. The record is from RefSeq and is a predicted model, not a curated record.
UUGAUCAAAUGUUUGAAAAGGAACACGGGAUAUACCCGUAUCCCUUCCCCAGAUCGCAUCCUUCAACCCUAAACCCGAAUAUUUGUUCCAGCCGCCACUACUCCUCAUCUCACCACUCCGAUCGGGCAUGGAGGUCGCCUACAGCCUCGCCGGCGAGCGCCACCACCAUGGGUAGGGUAUCUCCUAGUCGCCGCAAUGUCGAUGUACCGUCCACCGCUCGCUACCGUGCUCUUGAAGCACUGUCACCACCACCCGCUGCCAGCAACACCAAGAACCACCGAGGGAUGCAUUGAAGACCGAGGGAGGUGCUGUGUGCGUCGUGUGAGGGUCAGGAACCACCGGAAUCGCAUGGUCUUCUUUGGAUAGGAACCGGAAAGAAAGAUCCACCAUUGCCGCUGCGUGCCGUCGUUCCACCGCUGGCUGCCGCCACGAGCCACCAUCGGCCACCAUGGUGUGGUUGUGUGUGUGUGUAUUAGUUAAUGUGUGUAUUAGUUAGUGUGUGUAUUUUGGAUAAAAGCCUUGUAAUUUUAAUUAGCAUGGAAUAAUGAAAAUGAACCAAACCACCAUCGUGAGGUGGUGGCCGCCGCCGCGAGCCGUCUUUGACCACCACUACCCGAGGUGGUAGUGGGUGGUGCCCCACUAGCAAAACCUAAUGGGCUUAUGGAUUAGUUUUGGGCCUAUUGGGCCAUGUUUGGGUGGAAAACCCUAAUUGUGAGUAUUUGGGCCUUAGACUUAUUGGGCCCACUUGUGGGCCAUUAGGAUUGGAUUGUGAAUUAAGCCCAAAUUAUUCCAUGCCAUUUAUCUAGUAGAGUAAAGGAAUUAAUGGAUCAAGUUCUUAAUGGGCUAA